RNAcentral lists this ribosomal RNA (404 nucleotides) under Streptococcus lutetiensis. Its description in RNAcentral is "bacterial SSU rRNA". It matches the Rfam family "Bacterial small subunit ribosomal RNA", at positions 66 to 463 of the family's 1533-position model. The record is from RNAcentral. Lineage: Bacteria; Bacillati; Bacillota; Bacilli; Lactobacillales; Streptococcaceae.
GCUGAGACUUUAGCUUGCUAAAGUUGGAAGAGUUGCGAACGGGUGAGUAACGCGUAGGUAACCUGCCUACUAGCGGGGGAUAACUAUUGGAAACGAUAGCUAAUACCGCAUAACAGCAUUUAACCCAUGUUAGAUGCUUGAAAGGAGCAAUUGCUUCACUAGUAGAUGGACCUGCGUUGUAUUAGCUAGUUGGUGAGGUAACGGCUCACCAAGGCGACGAUACAUAGCCGACCUGAGAGGGUGAUCGGCCACACUGGGACUGAGACACGGCCCAGACUCCUACGGGAGGCAGCAGUAGGGAAUCUUCGGCAAUGGGGGCAACCCUGACCGAGCAACGCCGCGUGAGUGAAGAAGGUUUUCGGAUCGUAAAGCUCUGUUGUAAGAGAAGAACGUGUGUGAGAGUG